AAGGCAAUCUUUAUCUUCUUAGCGGGAAGUUUGCUGACUUAAAAUGUGCGCAGAGCUACAAAAUCAUCUUUUUUUCCUCCAAGUGACAUAGAGUUGAUGUUAAUUUUGAGGAGCGAAAUGAUUCUUGGUAUCCUUCGAGUCAUUUCUACCUAAAUCGCUUCAGCCGCUUGAGGUUGGCCCCGGCCCAGGUUCAUGGCUGCAGGAACACGUUGUCCACGAUGCUGAAACUGGCUGAGGAGUCAGGGCAGCUUUUGGGUUUCUGGGGUUUCCCAUUCUUGUCCCCAGCCCAACCACAGAUCUGCAGGAAUGGGUAAGUUAUCGGGGACACACUUCCAAGCCCGGGUCCCUUUGAUGUGAGGAAAGCAUUGGUGACUACCUCUAAAACUGUCCUCAGCCUGUAAACAAUCGGGGCACGGUGCCAGUGGACAUCUCUUUCAAGAAGCCAAGGCAGACUGUAAAGUGUCUGUUUAUUUACAAAAUCCCUCUUAAGAUAAAUGAAGGGGAAGAACCGGGAGGGAGGGUGAAAAAGCCAACAGGAGUAAAGCAAUUAUGUCAGCGAUGAAUUCCUGACCAGAAAGAGCACAGCUAGGGGACGGGGAGGGCAGUGACUUGCAAAGACGGAAGCAGACCUCUGGGGUUCCUUUGCACAAGCACACAGCUCCUCAGCAGAUGCUGGUUGGCUGUGCAAAGGGCUGGAACAGUAACGGGAGGAAGUUGCUCCCCAGAGCCAGUUGGCAAAUCCAGAAGAUGGUUCUGGAAUAAGUUAAGUUGCAAGAGCGAUUACUUCAUCAUGCUGUUCAAAUGGCAUGACACACUUCCCUGACAGCACUGCCACCACGUGGUGCCUUUACCAACGCUGGAGAAUGUGACUUCUUACACAGACUGCUUUUUCUGUGCUCCAAGUGGUUUCUUUCAAGGAACUACGAAGCCACUGAUGGUUGACACCUGCCCUCAACACGAUGGAGAGCAGCCUGAAGAAUGUUCUGGUGGUUUCCUUUGGAUUCUUGCUUCUCUUUACUGCCUUUGGAGGGCUACAGAAUCUGCAGAGCAGCCUGUACAGAGAGGAAGGCCUGGGGGUGGCAGCGCUCAGCACCAUCUAUGGGGCGGUGCUCGUGUCCUCCAUGUUUCUCCCAUCAGUUCUCAUUAAGAAGUUGGGCUGCAAGUGGAGCAUCGUCAUCUCCAUGUGCUGCUACGUGGCCUUCUCCCUGGGCAACUUCUACGCCAGCUGGUACACUCUGAUCCCCACCUCCAUCAUGCUGGGCCUCGGAGCUGCCCCACUGUGGUCUGCUCAUUGCACGUACCUCACGAUCAUGGGAAACACACAUGCGGAGGAGGCAGGAAAAAUCGGCAAAAAUGUGGUGAACCAGUAUUUUGGCAUCUUCUUUCUCAUAUUCCAGUCAUCUGGUGUGUGGGGCAACCUGAUCUCGUCUCUGGUGUUUGGCCAAAAACCCACUCAAGGGGCCAUCCCAGAGGAGAAUCUCCUGUCCUGUGGGGCAAGCGACUGCCUGAUGGCCACAGCGUCCACCAACAGCACCCAAAGUCCCUCCCAGGAGUUGAUCUACACCCUGCUGGGCAUCUACACAGGGAGUGGCGUGCUGGCAGUCCUGCUCGUAGCCACCUUUCUCCAACCCAUAAAGGAUGUCCAAGAGAAAAGCAAAGGAGAGGAAAAGUCGUCAUCUUUUUGGUCCACUUUGCUGUCAACUUUCAAGCUUCUCAGAGAUAAACGUCUGUGUCUCCUCAUUCUGCUGCCCGUGUACAGUGGGUUUCAGCAAGCCUUCCUCUCGGGUGACUACACGAGGUCGUACGUCACCUGCGCCCUGGGGAUCCAGUUUGUUGGCUACGUGAUGAUCUCCUUCUCGGCCACCAACGCGCUGUGCUCCGUGCUGUACGGGAAGAUCUCCCAGUACACGGGCAGAAUCGCUCUCUACAUGCUGGGCACGGGCAUCCACGUCUCCUGUGUCAUCGCCCUCUUGCUGUGGAAACCACACCCUCAUCAGCUGGCCAUGUUCUUCGUGUUUUCUGGCCUUUGGGGCAUGGCCGACGCCGUCUGGCAGACACAAAACAAUGCCCUUUAUGGCGUUCUGUUUGAGAAGAACAAGGAGGCUGCCUUUGCCAAUUAUCGCCUUUGGGAAGCCGUGGGGUUCGUCAUUGCGUUUGGAUACAGCACGUUUUUGUGCAUCUAUGUCAAACUCUACAUUCUGCUGGGAGUCUUGAGUCUGACGAUGGUGGCGUAUGGAAUUGUUGAGUAUCUGGAGUCCAAGAACCUGGCCCAGCCACUGGCUAUGGAAGAGACAAAGCCAGCAGAGGAAGGAGAAAUACAGACAAAACUGUGAAAGCAACCCCCCAUGGGAGGUGAACUCAGAGGGCAGCAGCAAGAGAGUCUUGUUUGAAGGUGCCUCAGAGUUUGUGGUUGAUUCUUCACAACUAUUUCAGCAAUGGAUGGCCAUUCUGAAGACAGAAAAAGUGCUAGCUGGGCCCCCGUGAUGCUGGAGAUGGAGUGAUGAGCAAAGAUGGACACGGUCCUUUCUCCACGCAGACAGUUGUCAGCCAAGUGAGGAGACAGACGUUGAUCAAUUAAAUAUGAAAUUCCACCUGCUGUGAGUGAUCGUGUUUGUGGCCUCUCCAGUGUCACUUGCCCCCUGUUAGGAUUUCGCCCUGACCCCCCCAGCUCCUGUGGCCAGUGGGACUCUGCUUCCCAUCACCCAGGCUCAACUCUCCUUCAGCACCUUCUCCCUCCACCACCCAUGGGGUCAGGGAUAGGUCCGGCAUUCCUCCUCAGAUCCUCUGACCCGUCUCCUCUGGUCCAUCCUUGGAACCGCCACCUUACUCCACCCCCUCCCCAACCUCACCGUUUCCUAACUUCCAUCCUCCCUACAGGGCACCAGUCCCUCCACACAGGACUGACCACUCCGUCCUGAAGCUCAGCCCCUUUGAGGGUUCCCUCCUGUCUCAAAAUCACAGUCUGCAUCCUGACCAUGACUUUCCAGGCCCUUUGUGACUUAGUUCCAGCCUCCUCUUUUGCCUAAGGUCCAUGUCAGCCAAACUUAACCAUCCAAUAUUUCUCUGAAGCACCUGGUUCUUUCCUCAUGGGCCCUUCGCUCGAGCUGCUCUUGCGUCUCUAUCCAAAUCGCAGUCAUCCUCCCAAACAGAAUGGCAUUGACUCCCGGGCACAAGUGAAAUGCCGUAACUUCUGGAAGCCCUCCACAAUCUUCUCAACAGAGCUAGGACCGACGUUCUCUAAAGCUCUCAACUCUGUUUUCUCGUUUCUGGCCCUUUAUGGCAGGCCAACUCAUGUCGCAUUUGUUGGCAAGAUACCUGACCAUCUUUACAUUUCCCACAGUGUGGAGCUUGGGUUGUUUCAUAGAGAAUCAAAGCUCAGCAAGGAUUUGUAUGGGUCUCAACGAGGAGCCGGUGACAUGCGGCGUCCCCUCCAACCUGCAGGGUUAGGAUCCUGUAAAUAAACCAUGUGGGUCUCCUGGACACCAAUUGGGUCUAAGACAGCCUGCUUUGGAACUGAUCUUUGGUUACACACCCAGCUCAGAGCAUUUGAAUGAGAGAUGCCCUAAUGUACUCAGGAACCCCCUCAUACAUUUUGGGGGGCCCUUGAGGAUUAUCCUGGAGAUACCGGACCAGACUCUCCUGACCCCACCAGGCUCAUCUCCCAAGACAUGGAUGGCACUGAGGUCCAGUGGGAAAGGACCCACAAGCUGAGAGGAGAGUAGAGUCAGGAAGCCUGUACAUGACCCUGGAGAGAUCCCUAUACGGAUGUGUUUAAAUCAUGCCCCCAGGUCAGAGCCGAGGGGCAGAGUGGAGCGCCUGUAGUCUUAAGUUUGAUUUUGUUUUAUUUAUUAUUUUUGGAAGCCUGGGAGGCACCCUCAGCAAUUGUUGACCUUGGGCAUGACCUCGUGCAUGGAGCAGAUCGCUGUUGAGCAUUUGAGGGACAUGUGCACUGAGCUGACUCAGCUUAAAAGGCAAAGGUUAGCCACUCAGUACUGUUUCUAGGAGUGCUCAGUUCCUCCUGAGCCUGGGUGCUGGUACCGAGAAUACUCUGCCUGUAGGGAUCUCUCUGAUGAUCCAUCAGACACCAGAAAAUGAGGAGAAUGUGAGCAGAGAGGCCUGGUCUUGAACCCCAGGCCCAAAGGUCCAGCUUCUCCCAACUGCAGGGAGCAAAGCCCAUUUCUGUGAAAGAGGUGAUGCGGAACAGGGCUGCAUCUCCGAGUGUUCCCGAAGCAGACAUCUCACCGGUUUGCAAGACCUCGCUUGAGGCUCGAGGAUCUGCAGAAUUCAGAUCAGAUGGAUGAGCACACUAUCUUGUUUUGCUGCUGUGGGCACCCUCGGGAAAAUGCGCCAGACGAUGCUUUUGCCAGGAGCCCAAGCCUCCGCGCAUGACUGGAGGUUUUCAAGCCAAGCUCGCCACAGGGCAUGCGGGCUGUCUGGCUGUUUGGUUGGCUGGUGCUGUCGGAUGCUCUCGGAUGAACAGCACUUUCCCAUCUGCUGUGCACACCCUCCAGCUGCUAGGUUGGUCCUCCUGGCUUUCUCUGGAAGACUGCCUAUGGCAUUAGGGCCUUUUCUUUUCUCUUUAUCCUUUGAACUCAUUGAUGAGGAGAAUCUGUGACUGCGCCCGAGUACCCUGGUGCAAGGCCUAGAGAAAAAAUCCUCAGGCUCUUGUCUCUGCCUGUCAGUGGGUGAAGGAUGAGUGGUUCGUCCCCUUGAUAGCGUCAGUAUUGCGUGCGUGUUGGGAACACUGAAUUGCAGCAGAAAGUAAAUUAUUUAAUCUUGUUCUCAGUACUCCAUUUGUAAAAUGGGAAUAUUCCUACUUCAUAGAAAUCAUUAGGGCAAUGUGCUAUCAUAGAACACUGUCAAAACUGUGCAAUGGAGCAGGAAGAAUGACCAUCCCCUAAGAUGAAGGUUAAAUACAGAGUUUUUUCGUGAAUCCUAACCCUCAGUGGAGUUCUUACAAAACCUCAGUUGGAUUUGAUCCAACGCUCGUAAAUCUCUUGGCCCAGCUCCCAGGGCUGAGCUGCAAACACAUUCUUUCAUGACUUGCUCAGAGUAAGCAACGAGGGCAAGAUCUAAAAGUAGACAAUGUAGGAAUGUAUGUCACAAUAUGUUAUUAAAAACUUCCCCCAAAUUAAAGGUAUAUCUAAAAGAAAACUGCUAAAUAUAGAAAUAAGUUAUUUCAAGUUCAAAGAGUAUAAUAAAGAGACAGGGAAUGUGUCAAGAAUCUAGGCUUAGAGCUGGUAUAUAUAUAUACUUACUAUAAUUUACUAAAAUGAGUCCUAAGUUUACGAGCACUGAACACAAGAAAAUACAGAUGAUACAAUAGUCAUUAUUUGACAAAAGGAGGCUUGCCAGUGUUUUAAAACAGAUUAAUUUUCUAGGUACUAAAAUGUAAAGGAGUUUUCGUGUGGGUCCCUAACCAAAGAACGUGGACAAGCACAGCAGACACCAUCUUUGAUGGGUGUUUUUGUAUGUUU
This is a non-coding RNA of Equus caballus (horse), 5477 nucleotides long. The record is from RefSeq and is a predicted model, not a curated record. Lineage: Eukaryota; Metazoa; Chordata; Mammalia; Perissodactyla; Equidae.